This is an RNA transcript of Haemorhous mexicanus (house finch), 804 nucleotides long. RefSeq lists it as uncharacterized. NCBI's taxonomy places the organism in Eukaryota, Metazoa, Chordata, Aves, Passeriformes, Fringillidae. The record is from RefSeq and is a predicted model, not a curated record. The transcript is spliced from 4 exons.
GGCAGGGGCCCCGCGCCCGGUGCCGGUAGUGACGGCCCUGCCCGCUCAGAACCCUUUGCUGUCCGUGCAGGCUCGCCCCGUCUCGCUGAAGGGAAGGUGUGAGAUGCCCGGCUGUCUCUGGGACGGACGAGAGCUCUCAACAGUUUUUUUCCAGUUUGAGGCAGCUGCAUCAUGAUGUGUUGGAUGAGUAAGUGGGCAAUGAGGGAGAAGUUCAGAAGGGGCUCUGCCUUUACUGCUCCCAUGAAGCCUGUGCCCAUGGAAACUACACAAUAGGAUUGAUCUCCUUUGCAUAAACUCCAGCAUGGCUGAAUCCAAGGAACAGUGGAGACCCAGGUGCUGAGGAAAAAGGAAGAGACUAAGAAAAGAGAUGGAAGAAUUUGUAAGCAAGAUUGCUUAUGUUGGAUUCUGGAUGAGCAGAAGAUCCAGUUUUCACUGCUGCUGGAAAUUUUUAAAUAGCAAGAAGAUAAAUCUGUGAAGAAGGAAACAUACAAAGCUACAAGAUGGAGGUUUAUGAGAAUCCCUGACAUUGCUUAGAAACACAAAGUUGGUCUUAGUGUAUCUAUUUGGUAAAUCCUCUAUUAGAAUUCUUGCUGUUCCUCAGAAAAUUCUGCAGACUUAUUUCUUAUUUCUUAUUUUGCAGACUUAUAAGCUGUAAACCAGCUUAUUUCCUUCAGUCCUAGUCUUAUGUUUGCAAGAAAAGCAUUUGGAAGCUUGAACUUAUGCUGAAUUGUCUUUCUAUUCCUUCAAAUUGUGGUCACAGAAGCUGGUUCUGAUGCUCAUUACAAGUUAAACCUGAUAUCUGAA